ASUCMUACGGGAGGCAGCASUGGSGAAUCWUGCGCAAUGGGCGAAAGCCUGACGCAGYGACGCCGCGUGCGGGAAGAAGGCSUUAGGGUUGUARMCCGCUUUCAGGAGGSACGWAGCCACUCGGGUGAAUAKCCCAGAGGGUGWCGGUACCUCCAGAAGAAGCYCCGGCUAACUMCGYRCCAGCAGCCGCGGUAAUAYGURGGGGGCAAGCGUUGUCCGGAUUCAUUGGGSGUAAAGAGCGUGUAGGCGGCCAGGUAGGUCGGUUGUGAAAAMWGGAGGCUCAACCUUCAGACGUCGACCGAAACCAUCUGGCUAGAGUCCGGGAGAGGAGAGUGGAAUUCCUSGUGUAGCGGUGAAAUGCGCAGAUAUCASGAAGAACACCCGUGGCGAAAGCGGCUCUCUGGAACGGUACUGACGCUGAGACGCGAAAGCGUGGGGAGCGAACAGGAUUAGAUACCCUGGUAGUCCACGCCGUAAACGAUGGGCGCUAGGUGUGGGAGGUGUCGACUCCUUCCGUGCCGCAGCUAACGCMUUAAGCGCCCCGCCUGGGGAGUACGGCCSCAAGGCUAAAACUCAAAGSAAKUGACGG
RNAcentral lists this ribosomal RNA (589 nucleotides) under uncultured Solirubrobacteraceae bacterium. RNAcentral's name for it is "partial 16S ribosomal RNA". It matches the Rfam family "Bacterial small subunit ribosomal RNA", at positions 335 to 916 of the family's 1533-position model. The record is from RNAcentral. Lineage: Bacteria; Bacillati; Actinomycetota; Thermoleophilia; Solirubrobacterales; Solirubrobacteraceae.